Molecule: ribosomal RNA, 550 nt
Filed under: uncultured Glomeromycotina
Lineage: Eukaryota; Fungi; Glomeromycota
Description: SSU rRNA
Rfam family: Eukaryotic small subunit ribosomal RNA
Source: RNAcentral
UUGGAGGGCAGUCUGGUGCCAGCAGCCGCGGUAAUUCCAGCUCCAAUAGCGUAUAUUAAAGUUGUUGCAGUUAAAAAGCUCGUAGUUGAACUUCGGGGUUUACCCAUUGGUCAGGCUUAAUUGUCUGUACUGGUGAGAUGAAUCUCUACCUUCUGAGGAACUUUCAUGCCAUUUAGUUGGUGUGAUGGGAAAUCAGGACUGUUACUUUGAAAAAAUUAGAGUGUUUAAAGCAGGCUAACGUCUGAAUACAUUAGCAUGGAAUAAUGAAAUAGGACGGACUGAUUCUAUUUCGUUGGUUUCUAGGAUCACCGUAAUGAUUAAUAGGGAUAGUUGGGGGCAUUAGUAUUCAAUUGUCAGAGGUGAAAUUCUUGGAUUUAUUGAAGACUAACUACUGCGAAAGCAUUUGCCAAGGAUGUUUUCAUUAAUCAAGAACGAAAGUUAGGGGAUCGAAGACGAUCAGAUACCGUCGUAGUCUUAACCAUAAACUAUGCCGACUAGGGAUCGGACGAAGUUAAUUUUAUAAUGACGCGUUCGGCGCCUUACGGGAAAC